This 822-nucleotide ribosomal RNA is filed under the name uncultured Bacillaceae bacterium. RNAcentral's name for it is "bacterial SSU rRNA". It matches the Rfam family "Bacterial small subunit ribosomal RNA", at positions 9 to 793 of the family's 1533-position model. The record is from RNAcentral. Lineage: Bacteria; Bacillati; Bacillota; Bacilli; Caryophanales; Bacillaceae.
GAGUUUGAUCCUGGCUCAGGACGAACGCUGGCGGCGUGCCUAAUACAUGCAAGUCGAGCGCGGGAAGCUCACCAAUCCCUUCGGGGAGCGGUGAGUGGAACGAGCGGCGGACGGGUGAGUAACACGUGGGCAACCUGCCUGUAAGACUGGGAUAACUCGCGGAAACGUGAGCUAAUACCGGAUAAUAUUUCUUAUCGCAUGAUAGGCGAUUUAAAAGACGGCGUAAGCUGUCACUUACAGAUGGGCCCGCGGCGCAUUAGCUAGUUGGUGGGGUAAGAGCCUACCAAGGCGCACGAUGCNUAGCCGACCUGAGAGGGUGAUCGGCCACACUGGGACUGAGACACGGCCCAGACUCCUACGGGAGGCAGCAGUAGGGAAUCUUCCGCAAUGGACGAAAGUCUUGACGGAGCAACGCCGCGUGAGUGAAGAAGGUCUUCGGAAUCGUAAAACUCUGUUGUUAGGGAAGAACAAGUUGGAUAGUAACUGAUCCAACCUUGACGGUACCUAACCAGAAAGCCACGGCUAACUACGUGCCAGCAGCCGCGGUAAUACGUAGGUGGCAAGCGUUGUCCGGAUUUAUUGGGCGUAAAGGGCUCGCAGGCGGUCUCUUAAGUCUGAUGUGAAAUCUUGCGGCUUAACCGUAAGUGGUCAUUGGAAACUGGGAGGCUUGAGUGCAGAAGAGGAGAGUGGAAUUCCAUGUGUAGCGGUGAAAUGCGUAGAGAUAUGGAGGAACACCAGUGGCGAAGGCGACUCUCUGGUCUGUAACUGACGCUGAGGAGCGAAAGCGCUGCGGGAGCGAACAGGAUUAGAUACCCCUGGUAG